RNAcentral lists this ribosomal RNA (33 nucleotides) under Phlebia radiata. Its description in RNAcentral is "partial 25S ribosomal RNA". Lineage: Eukaryota; Fungi; Basidiomycota; Agaricomycetes; Polyporales; Meruliaceae. The record is from RNAcentral. RNAcentral also lists the same sequence under 2 other names.
AUCUGACCUCAAAUCAGGUAGGACUACCGCUGA